Molecule: ribosomal RNA, 900 nt
Filed under: uncultured bacterium
Lineage: Bacteria
Description: bacterial SSU rRNA
Rfam family: Bacterial small subunit ribosomal RNA
Source: RNAcentral
GAGUUUGAUCAUGGCUCAGGAUUAACGCUGGCUGUGUGCCUAAUACAUGCAUGUCGAACGAAGUACUUGUACUUAGUGGCAAAUGGGUGAGUAACACGUACCUAACCUACCUUUUAGAUUGGGAUAACUAUUGGAAACUUUAGCUAAUACCAAAUAUUUAUAAAUAACAAAAGUUUUUUAUAUAAAAGAAGGGUUUCCUUCACUAAAAGAUGGGGGUGCGCUACAUUAGAUUGUUGGUGAGGUAAUGGCUCACCGAGUCAAUGAUGUAUAGUGGGACCGAGAGGUUGAACCACCACACUGGGACUGAGAUACGGCCCAGACUCCUACGGGAGGCAGCAGUAGGGAAUCUUCCGCAAUGAGCGAAAGCUUGACGGAGCAACACAGCGUGUACGAUGAAGGCCUUCGGGUUGUAAAGUACUGUUGUAAGAGAAGAAUAACUAAAAAAGGAAAUGUUUUUAGUGUGACGGUAUCUUAAUAGAAAGCAGUUGCAAACUAUGUGCCAGCAGCGGCGGUAAUACAUAGACUGCAAGCGUUAUCCGGAAUUAUUGGGCGUAAAGCGUCCGUAGGUUAUUUAUUAAGUCUGGUGUUAAAAAUUGAAGCUCAACUUCAGUUUGCAUCAGAUACUAGUAGAAUAGAGUUACAAAGAGGUUAAUGGAACUCCAUGUGGAGCGGUGAAAUGCGUUGAUACAUGGAAGAACACCAAUGGCGAAGGCAAUUAACUGGAUGUAAACUGACACUGAGGGACGAAAGCGUGGGGAGCAAACAGGAUUAGAUACCCUGGUAGUCCACGCCCUAAACGAUGUUCGUUAGUCGGUGGUGAAAUCACUGAUACAGCUAACGCAUUAAACGAACCGCCUGAGUAGUAUGCUUGCAAGAGUGAAACUUAAAGGAAUUGACGGG